RNAcentral lists this ribosomal RNA (485 nucleotides) under Listeria monocytogenes. RNAcentral's name for it is "partial 23S ribosomal RNA". It matches the Rfam family "Bacterial large subunit ribosomal RNA", at positions 1 to 479 of the family's 2925-position model. The record is from RNAcentral. Lineage: Bacteria; Bacillati; Bacillota; Bacilli; Caryophanales; Listeriaceae.
GGUUAAGUUAGAAAGGGCGCACGGUGGAUGCCUUGGCACUAGGAGCCGAAGAAGGACGGGACUAACACCGAUAUGCUUUGGGGAGCUGUACGUAAGCGUUGAUCCAGAGAUUUCCGAAUGGGGGAACCCACUAUCUUUAGUCGGAUAGUAUCCUUACGUGAAUACAUAGCGUGAGGAAGGCAGACCCAGGGAACUGAAACAUCUAAGUACCUGGAGGAAGAGAAAGAAAAAUCGAUUUCCUGAGUAGCGGCGAGCGAAACGGAAAGAGCCCAAACCAAGAAGCUUGCUUCUUGGGGUUGUAGGACACUCUAUACGGAGUUACAAAAGAAAGUUAUAAAUGAAGCGGUCUGGAAAGGCCCGCCAAAGACGGUAACAGCCCGGUAGUUGAAAUAGCUUUCCCUCCAGAGUGGAUCCUGAGUACGGCGGAACACGUGAAAUUCCGUCGGAAUCCGGGAGGACCAUCUCCCAAGGCUAAAUACUCCCUA